GGGCCCGUCGUCUAGACUGGAUAGGACGCCGCCCUUACACGGCGGAGGUCGCCGGUUCAAGUCCGGCCGGGCCCACCA
This 78-nucleotide transfer RNA is filed under the name Caldococcus noboribetus. RNAcentral describes it as "tRNA-Val". It matches the Rfam family "tRNA". Rfam says of the family: Transfer RNA (tRNA) molecules are approximately 80 nucleotides in length. RNAcentral also lists the same sequence under 2 other names. Lineage: Archaea; Thermoproteati; Thermoproteota; Thermoprotei; Desulfurococcales. The record is from RNAcentral.